AUUGAACGCUGGCGGCAGGCUUAACACAUGCAAGUCGAACGGUAGCACAAGGGAGCUUGCUCCCUGGGUGACGAGUGGCGGACGGGUGAGUAAUGCUUGGGAAUCUGGCUCAUGGAGGGGGAUAACUACGGGAAACUGUAGCUAAUACCGCGUAAUAUCUUCGGAUUAAAGUGUGGGACCGCAAGGCCACAUGCCAUGAGAUGAGCCCAAGUGGGAUUAGGUAGUUGGUGGGGUAAAGGCCUACCAAGCCGACGAUCUCUAGCUGGUCUGAGAGGAUGACCAGCCACACUGGAACUGAGACACGGUCCAGACUCCUACGGGAGGCAGCAGUGGGGAAUAUUGCACAAUGGGGGGAACCCUGAUGCAGCCAUGCCGCGUGAAUGAAGAAGGCCUUCGGGUUGUAAAGUUCUUUCGGUAGCGAGGAAGGUGGUAAUGUUAAUAGCAUUAUCAAUUGACGUUAACUACAGAAGAAGCACCGGCUAACUCCGUGCCAGCAGCCGCGGUAAUACGGAGGGUGCGAGCGUUAAUCGGAAUAACUGGGCGUAAAGGGCACGCAGGCGGUUGAUUAAGUGAGAUGUGAAAGCCCCGGGCUUAACCUGGGAAUUGCAUUUCAUACUGGUCAACUAGAGUACUUUAGGGAGGGGUAGAAUUCCACGUGUAGCGGUGAAAUGCGUAGAGAUGUGGAGGAAUACCGAAGGCGAAGGCAGCCCCUUGGGAAUGUACUGACGCUCAUGUGCGAAAGCGUGGGGAGCAAACAGG
This 759-nucleotide ribosomal RNA is filed under the name uncultured bacterium. Its description in RNAcentral is "bacterial SSU rRNA". It matches the Rfam family "Bacterial small subunit ribosomal RNA", at positions 28 to 776 of the family's 1533-position model. The record is from RNAcentral.